AGCGAACGCUGGCGGCAGGCUUAACACAUGCAAGUCGAACGGGCAUAGCAAUAUUUCUGUGGCAGACGGGUGAGUAACGCGUGGGAACGUACCUUUUGGUUCGGAACAACACAGGGAAACUUGUGCUAAUACCGGAUAAGCCCUUACGGGGAAAGAUUUAUCGCCGAAAGAUCGGCCCGCGUCUGAUUAGCUAGUUGGUAGGGUAAUGGCCUACCAAGGCGACGAUCAGUAGCUGGUCUGAGAGGAGGAUCAGCCACAUUGGGACUGAGACACGGCCCAAACUCCUACGGGAGGCAGCAGUGGGGAAUAUUGGACAAUGGGCGAUAGCCUGAUCCAGCCAUGCCGCGUGAGUGAUGAAGGCCCUAGGGUUGUAAAGCUCUUUUGUGCGGGAAGAUAAUGACGGUACCGCAAGAAUAAGCCCCGGCUAACUUCGUG
This 435-nucleotide ribosomal RNA is filed under the name uncultured bacterium. RNAcentral describes it as "partial 16S ribosomal RNA". It matches the Rfam family "Bacterial small subunit ribosomal RNA", at positions 29 to 507 of the family's 1533-position model. The record is from RNAcentral.